GACGUAGGGUCCAAGCGUUGUCCGGAUUUACUGGGCGUAAAGGGCGCGUAGGCGGCUUGGCAAGUGGAUGGUGAAAUCCCUCGGCUUAACCGAGGAACUGCCGUCCAAACUGCUUAGCUUGAGACCGGGAGAGGUGAGUGGAAUUCCCAGUGUAGCGGUGAAAUGCGUAGAUAUUGGGAGGAACACCAGUGGCGAAGGCGGCUCACUGGACCGGUACUGACGCUGAUGCGCGAAAGCGUGGGGAGCAAACGGG
This 253-nucleotide ribosomal RNA is filed under the name uncultured bacterium. RNAcentral's name for it is "partial 16S ribosomal RNA". It matches the Rfam family "Bacterial small subunit ribosomal RNA", at positions 524 to 776 of the family's 1533-position model. The record is from RNAcentral.